AGUGAACGCUGGCGGUAGGCCUAACACAUGCAAGUCGAACGGCAGCACAGUAAGAGCUUGCUCUUACGGGUGGCGAGUGGCGGACGGGUGAGGAAUACAUCGGAAUCUACUUUUUCGUGGGGGAUAACGUAGGGAAACUUACGCUAAUACCGCAUACGACCUACGGGUGAAAGCAGGGGAUCUUCGGACCUUGCGCGAUUGAAUGAGCCGAUGUCGGAUUAGCUAGUUGGCGGGGUAAAGGCCCACCAAGGCGACGAUCCGUAGCUGGUCUGAGAGGAUGAACCACCAAACUGGAACUGAGACACGGCCCCAACUCCUAGGGGGGGCAGGAGUGGGAAAUUUUGGGAAAAGGGCGGAAGCCUGAUCCAGCCAUUCCGGGUGGGUGAAGAAGGCCUUCGGGUUGUAAAGCCCUUUUGUUGGGAAAAAAAAGCAGCAGGUUAAACCCCCGGUGUUCUGACGGUACCCAAAAAAAAAGCACCGGCUAACUUCGU
Molecule: ribosomal RNA, 491 nt
Filed under: uncultured bacterium
Lineage: Bacteria
Description: partial 16S ribosomal RNA
Rfam family: Bacterial small subunit ribosomal RNA
Source: RNAcentral